GCGAACAUUGGCGGUAGGCUUAACACAUGCAAGUCGAGCGAGGCGUAAUAGUCGAGCGGCGAACGGGUGCGUAAUACAUGGGAAUCUACCUCGAAGUGGGGGAUAACGUUCAGAAAUGGACGCUAAUACCGCAUAAUCCAUAUUGGGAAAGCGUUGCAGCGCUUUGAGAUGAGCCCAUGGCUGAUUAGCUUGUUGGUGAGGUAAAGGCCUACCAAGGCGACGAUCGGUAGCUGGUCUGAGAGGACGACCAGCCACACUGGGACUGAGACACGGCCCAGACUCCUACGGGAGGCAGCAGUGGGGAAUAUUGGACAAUGGGGGCAACCCUGAUCCAGCAAUGCCGCGUGGGUGAAGAAGGCCUGCGGGUUGUAAAGCCCUUUCGACGGGGAGGAAGGCACCGGCGCGAAUAGCGUUGGUGAUUGACGUAACCUGGAGAAGAAGCACCGGCUAACUCCGU
Molecule: ribosomal RNA, 457 nt
Filed under: uncultured bacterium
Lineage: Bacteria
Description: bacterial SSU rRNA
Rfam family: Bacterial small subunit ribosomal RNA
Source: RNAcentral